CCUACGGGAGGCAGCAGUGGGGAAUAUUGCGCAAUGGGCGAAAGCCUGACGCAGCGACGCCGCGUGAGGGAUGAAGGUCUUCUGAUCGUAAACCUCUGUCAGCAGGGAAGAACGGUCACUGUGCUAAUCAGCAGUGAAUUGACGGUACCUGCAAAGGAAGCACCGGCUAACUCCGUGCCAGCAGCCGCGGUAAUACGGAGGGUGCGAGCGUUAAUCGGAAUUACUGGGCGUAAAGCGCUCGUAGGCGGUAUGUCAAGUCAAGGGUGAAAUCCCCGCGCUCAACGUGGGAACUGCCUUUGAAACUGGCAAACUGGAGUGUGUGAGAGGAUAGUGGAAUUCCAGGUGUAGGAGUGAAAUGCGUAGAUAUCGGGAGGAACACCAGUGGCGAAGGCGACUAUCUGGCACAUAACUGACGCUGAGGAGCGAAAGCGUGGGUAGCAAACAGGAUUAGAUACCCCUGUAGUC
RNAcentral lists this ribosomal RNA (465 nucleotides) under uncultured bacterium. Its description in RNAcentral is "partial 16S ribosomal RNA". It matches the Rfam family "Bacterial small subunit ribosomal RNA", at positions 338 to 795 of the family's 1533-position model. The record is from RNAcentral.